This 682-nucleotide ribosomal RNA is filed under the name uncultured bacterium. RNAcentral's name for it is "bacterial SSU rRNA". It matches the Rfam family "Bacterial small subunit ribosomal RNA", at positions 221 to 893 of the family's 1533-position model. The record is from RNAcentral.
CCGGAUGGGCCCGCGCCCGAUUAGCUAGUUGGUGAGGUAACGGCUCACCAAGGCUUCGAUCGGUAACCGGCCUGAGAGGGCGAUCGGUCACACCGGAACUGAGACACGGUCCGGACUCCUACGGGAGGCAGCAGUGGGGAAUCUUGCGCAAUGGGCGAAAGCCUGACGCAGCAACGCCGCGUGGAGGAUGAAGGCCCUUGGGUUGUAAACUCCUGUCGGCUGGGAAGAAAUCGUUCGGGGCUCAUGCCCUCGGACGUUGACUGUACCAGCAAAGGAAGCCCCGGCUAACUCUGUGCCAGCAGCCGCGGUAAUACAGAGGGGGCCAGCGUUAUUCGGAAUUAUUGGGCGUAAAGGGCGCGUAGGCGGCCAUGCGUGUCUUCCGUGAAAUCCCUCGGCUUAACUGAGGACGUGCGGAAGAAACUGCAAGGCUCGAGUCCGGGAGAGGGGGGUGGAAUUCCCAGUGUAGCGGUGAAAUGCGUAGAUAUUGGGAGGAACACCGGUGGCGAAGGCGGCCCCCUGGACCGGUACUGACGCUGAGGCGCGAAAGCGUGGGUAGCAAACGGGAUUAGAUACCCCGGUAGUCCACGCCGUAAACGAUGGGCACUUGGUGUCGCGGGUAUCGACCCCUGCGGUGCCGAAGCUAACGCAUUAAGUGCCCCGCCUGGGGAGUACGGUCGCAAGG